UGGGGAAUAUUGGACAAUGGGCGCAAGCCUGAUCCAGCAAUGCCGCGUGUGUGAAGAAGGCCUUCGGGUUGUAAAGCACUUUUAUCAGGAGCGAAACGCUGUCGGCUAAUACCCGGCGGAACUGACGGUACCUGAGGAAUAAGCACCGGCUAACUUCGUGCCAGCAGCCGCGGUAAUACGAAGGGUGCAAGCGUUAAUCGGAAUUACUGGGCGUAAAGCGUGCGUAGGCGGUUUCUUAAGUCUGCUGUGAAAUCCCCGGGCUCAACCUGGGAAUGGCAGUGGAUACUGGGAGGCUAGAGUGUGUCAGAGGGUGGUGGAAUUCCCGGUGUAGCGGUGAAAUGCGUAGAGAUCGGGAGGAACAUCAGUGGCGAAGGCGGCCACCUGGGACAACACUGACGCUGAGGCACGAAAGCGUGGGGAGCAAACAGGAUUAGAUACCCUGGUAGUCCACGCCCUAAACGAUGCGAACUGGAUGUUGGCCUCAACUCGGAGAUCAGUGUCGAAGCUAACGCGUUAAGUUCGCCGCCUGGGGAGUACGGUCGCAAGACUGAAACUCAAAUGAAUUGAC
Molecule: ribosomal RNA, 568 nt
Filed under: uncultured bacterium
Lineage: Bacteria
Description: partial 16S ribosomal RNA
Rfam family: Bacterial small subunit ribosomal RNA
Source: RNAcentral